This 254-nucleotide ribosomal RNA is filed under the name uncultured bacterium. RNAcentral's name for it is "partial 16S ribosomal RNA". It matches the Rfam family "Bacterial small subunit ribosomal RNA", at positions 524 to 776 of the family's 1533-position model. The record is from RNAcentral.
UACGGAGGGUGCAAGCGUUAUCCGGAUUUACUGGGUUUAAAGGGUGUGUAGGCGGACUUUUAAGUCAGCGGUGAAAUCUCCGGGCUCAACCCGGAAACUGCCAUUGAUACUAUUAGUCUUGAAUAUUGUUGAGGUAGGCGGAACGGGUCAUGUAGCGGUGAAAUGCAUAGAUAUGACCCGGAACACCGAUUGCGAAGGCAGCCUACUAAGCAAUUAUUGACGCUGAGGCACGAAAGCGUGGGGGAUCAAACAGG